GAGAAGCAAGACCGUGAGGUGGAGCAAAACUCAAAAACUUGUCUCAGUUCGGAUUGUAGGCUGAAACUCGCCUACAUGAAGCUGGAGUUGCUAGUAAUCGCGAAUCAGCAUGUCGCGGUGAAUACGUUCCCGGGCCUUGUACACACCGCCCGUCACACCAUGAGAGUUGGCAAUACCCAACGUACGUGAUCUAACCCGCAAGGGAGGAAGCGUCCUAAGGUAGGGUCAGCGAUUGGGGUGAAGUCGUAACAAGGUAGC
RNAcentral lists this ribosomal RNA (258 nucleotides) under uncultured bacterium. Its description in RNAcentral is "partial 16S ribosomal RNA". It matches the Rfam family "Bacterial small subunit ribosomal RNA", at positions 1244 to 1500 of the family's 1533-position model. The record is from RNAcentral.